GGCCAGGUAGCUCAGUUGGUAGAGCAGCGGACUGAAAAUCCGCGUGUCGUUGGUUCGAUUCCGACCCUGGCCA
RNAcentral lists this transfer RNA (73 nucleotides) under Povalibacter uvarum. Its description in RNAcentral is "Steroidobacter sp. ZUMI 37 tRNA". It matches the Rfam family "tRNA". Rfam says of the family: Transfer RNA (tRNA) molecules are approximately 80 nucleotides in length. Their secondary structure includes four short double-helical elements and three loops (D, anti-codon, and T loops). RNAcentral also lists the same sequence under 1 other name. The record is from Rfam by way of RNAcentral. Lineage: Bacteria; Pseudomonadati; Pseudomonadota; Gammaproteobacteria; Steroidobacterales; Steroidobacteraceae.